GGAGACAUAGCUCAGUUGGUAGAGUGCUUGCCUCACAUGUACAAGGCCCUGGGUUCAAUCCCCAGCACCA
Molecule: transfer RNA, 70 nt
Filed under: Marmota marmota marmota (Alpine marmot)
Lineage: Eukaryota; Metazoa; Chordata; Mammalia; Rodentia; Sciuridae
Also listed under: 3 other names
Rfam family: tRNA
About the family: Transfer RNA (tRNA) molecules are approximately 80 nucleotides in length.
Source: Rfam by way of RNAcentral